This 2619-nucleotide long non-coding RNA is filed under the name Mus musculus (house mouse). Its description in RNAcentral is "long non-coding RNA chr13:76566568-76569187". Lineage: Eukaryota; Metazoa; Chordata; Mammalia; Rodentia; Muridae. The record is from RNAcentral.
UUUGGGGUAGAGAUAGAGAUAUAGGAGUACUAACAUAGGGAUAGUAAUUAAUCCUGUAAUCAUGGAUAGAAUUUCACUAUGAGAAUACAAAGCAGAUGUCCAUUUAGGCUGAGCUGAGUAUAAACAGUCUAAGCAUUAGGGACUGUGUUUUUAAAACAUUUUACAUGGUCUUUGAAAGCAAGAAAAUUUGACCAAAUAAACCUUGUAAUCCCAUAGAACAAAUGAGCAGAGUGCCCUCUGAUAGGCAAUUGGCCAUUCUCAGAUGUGUCUCUUCUAUGUUUUUACCUCCCAGACACCUCACAUAGAGCUUCAGAUUUCCUGAUUUCUUGCAAAAGAAGCAGAGCCUGAGACUGACUAUGAAAUAGCAGUACAGAGGGGGCAGAAAAAAAAAAAACACACCAAGGAGUGAGAAGGAGAAACUAGAGAAUUAGUGAAGAAUAUAUAUAAAAUACAACUUCUACUUCAUUUGUCAAAGUUACUAGUAUAUAAUUUUUUUAAAAUGAGGCAUCAGGCAAAUGAAGCUAAUUUAUACUUAUUACCUUUUAAAAAAAAUUUUCUAUAAUGCAGAUGAGGAUCAUAACAAACAGUAUGAGCCAAAGUAGAGACAUAAUUUAUGUUUAUAAAAUAUGAUUUUAAAACAUGCCAUCUUUUAAAAAACUAUAAUAUUUAUUUUACUUUUUUAUUUAUCUUUCUCUCCUGGGUUACAACCCAACUGCAGUUUCUCCCUCUUCUACCCCUAUUCCCCCCCCCAUUCCUUCCUCUUGGUCAGAAAAGGGCAGGCUUCCGAGGGAUUUCAACUAAACAAGGUAUAUCAAGUUGCAAUAGACUAAGUACCUUCACUUCUAUUAAGGGUGGUCAACACAACCCAGUAGGAGGAAAAAGGUCCCAAAGGCAAGCAAAAGAGUCAGAGACAGCCCAACUUUGACUGGUCCCACAAGAAAACCAAGCUACACAACCAUAACAUAUAUGCAGAGGGCCUAGGUCAGCCCCAUGCAGAUUCCCUGCUGGUUGUUUCAGUCUCUGUGAGCCCACAUGGAUUCAGUUAGUUGAUUCUGUGGGUUUUCUUGUGGUGUCCUUAACUGUUCUGGCUUCCGCAAUCCUUCUUCCCCCUCUUCUGCAGGAUUUCCCUUACUUCACCUAACGUUUGGCUGUGGGUCUCUGCACAUAUUCCCAUCAGUUAGAAGAUACCCUCUUAAUACCAUUGGGUUACACAUUUGCUUUAAGACAUCUAAACUGCUUUUUAAUAUGAGAGGAAUGAAAGGAAGCGUGGGAGCAGCGUGGGGGAUGGGAAGGAAGAUGAUCACAAAAAUAGAUGAGGCUGGACCAAGAAAAACAUACUCCUAGGAAGGUAACCUGUGCUUUUAUAGCCAGAUUAAUUGUGUUAAACAAUAAUUGGAUGUUUGUAGUGGGCAGAAAAAAAUGGUAGGUGUUGUGAUUUGAAUUUUGUAUCUCCUCUGCAGUGUAAAUCAAAUAAACUCCCUUCUAUCUAAGUUGCUUUUGUAAGGUAUUCUAUCAAAGCAGUGGAAAUGUACAGUGACCAUCAUCCUUUAUUACCUAGCUCUGAGGCAAGCUGUAUUUCUAAUAGAAAGGUUUCUGGAAGCAGCUGAUGCCCAAAGCCAUACUGAAGGGAAAUAAGUAGGUGGCAGGUUUUUGUUUUUGUUCUUAUUUUUUUUUGUUUUGUUUUUUUGUUUUUUGUUUUUGUUUUUGUUUUUUUUAGUAGAGGAGAUCUUAGGGCCCCCUGGGUUAGACCUGACUGGAUGGUGUUAGUGGUCUAGGAACCAGGAGAGGUUUCCUCACUGCGUAAGUAGAAAAGUCUCCUUCAUAUUUAUAGUAUGAGUCAGAAAGUGUCAUUUUUAUCAAACUGGUACCAAAGUAUCUUUCAUCAUAAAACCCAAGAAUUUAUGGCUCUGAUAGUUGAAGUAUAUAGGAAAUUUGACUUAAAGUAGGUAGUACCCAUAUCUUUAUAUUCAAGGCAGUUUUACUUGAAAUUAAACUUCUUGGUUCUAGAAGAAAAUGACUUUUAAAUUACUUUGGAAUUUUUGCUUCAUUGUAGAUUUUUCAAGUGUAUUCUAAUCAUUACAGCCUAAAGUGCAGAAAUAAAAAAAAAGUCCCUCUCUUUCUAGGUGGAGGGGUGAGGGAAAAAUUAUGCAGGCGUGGAUUUAUCCUCCUCAGAUGCAUCCCCUGUGCAUAAUUUCCUCCAGGCCUGUGCUUGUUUUAUGGUGGUUACCCACAGUUCUUAAGCCCAAAAGAAUUGCAGUUUGUCUAAUUGAUGUAUAAUAAAAAUAUUUCUUUACCUAGUGUUUCUAUCCACCCUUCAGAAAAAUUACAAAAGGACUGCAAUUAAUAUUUAAAACAGUAACCAUUUCACGUCUGUGUAAGAACAUUAUAUGCAGGAGCACAGCCAGACCAUCUUUUCAAGUCCUAGCCCUCAUUAUGCCAUCUACUGGCUAUAUAGUUGUAGUCAAGAUUUCUUUUUCUUCUUGCCUCAGCUUCCUUAUCAGAAUGGGGCAUCUGAGUGUUUGUUUCAUAACAUCAUUGUAGGUAAUGUCAAGGAGACAGGAUUAGCAAAAUAACUAUAAUAACUUUUGGCAUUUAAGUACAAAGUGCAUAUUUGAUGGU